UACGUAUGGAGCAAGCGUUAUCCGGAUUUACUGGGUGUAAAGGGAGCGUAGGCGGCAUACCAAGCCUGAUGUGAAAACCCGGAGCCCAACCCCGGGAGUGCAUUGGGAACUGGCAAGCUAGAGUGUCGGAGAGGCAGGCGGAAUUCCUAGUGUAGCGGUGAAAUGCGUAGAUAUUAGGAGGAACACCAGUGGCGAAGGCGGCUUACUGGGCGGCAACUGACGCUGAGGCUCGAAAGCGUGGGGAGCAAACAGG
This 253-nucleotide ribosomal RNA is filed under the name uncultured bacterium. RNAcentral's name for it is "partial 16S ribosomal RNA". It matches the Rfam family "Bacterial small subunit ribosomal RNA", at positions 524 to 776 of the family's 1533-position model. The record is from RNAcentral.